Long non-coding RNA from Zophobas morio, 693 nucleotides. RefSeq lists it as uncharacterized. The record is from RefSeq and is a predicted model, not a curated record. The transcript is spliced from 2 exons. NCBI's taxonomy places the organism in Eukaryota, Metazoa, Arthropoda, Insecta, Coleoptera, Tenebrionidae.
CGGUUUUUAACCAACCGAGAAAACAUUUAUAUUUAUAUUUAUUUCUGGUAAUGCUAUUAAACGGUAAUUAAUGUGAACCAGCUUAUCGAAUGCACGAUUAUGCCCAUUCGAGCGAUUUAGAUCCCAUUGUUUUGUACAAAUUUGAUCAUUGCGACAUUCGUGCCGCGGUUCUGUCACCUGUUAAAAUAGAACCCCUCCCGCCCCAUCCGUUCCCGGGCCAAAAAUACACAACUUUGUCAUACUUGAAUCACUCUGUUCUUAUUACACUUAAGCAAUAACCGCUUAUCUAAAUCACCGAGUAAAUAUAAGUUACAAACAGCGCAAUAACUCGUUAUUCAUCAGAAUGUGCAAGUGGAUGUUCUUCAAGACCUCCUCCGUCAAAUCUUCUUACGAGGUCGACGCCGGCAGCUCCAGGAAGUCCAGCACCGCCGACAUCCCCGGCCUCGACGAAGAAACCAAAGUGCAGUCCCCCUCAGAGGCCUACCGCGAGACCAAGGACAGCUGAGCCAUGUCCACCGUAAAAAUAAAAAGUUUUGUCACUUCUUGGCGAAACCCGCUCACGUCGUUCGCUUUACAUAAAAGAGAAACGCCAGUUCCAGAUUUCCACCGCAUCGAAUUGUAGUCACAUCGCGCAAAAUAAAUAUGUAAAAGCGGCUGCGUUUUCUACUAAUAAAUCCGUUUCAGUUCUUGUAA